GUCUCAAAUUGCCCACUUCUGUACUAAAUACUAACUAUCUGAGUACAUAGUGCGUUCACAUUGUCGAAGUGCGGUCAAAUGCAGUGCACUUAAAAUACCCGGAUGGUGUACUCAAACCGGUCACAAAGUUAAGUGUGGAUCGAUGGACACUUUCCACACUCAACGGUCGCCAUCUUGGCUACGUAGCGGAAGGGGCGGAGCUAACAAGCGUUGAAAAACUUUUGAUAAUGGCUGCUGAAGACGCGAUGGCGAGACUGACGGAGCAAUACAAAGUUGAACGGACAAACGAUGAAUAGAGAGCCAUCAUUUAGGGGCGACGAUGGCCAUCAGACCGUAGAAGGAUCCCCUGGAGAGUCUGAAGUCCCCCCUCAUGUCCCAAUCCCCAUCAGACUAGCUCCGGCCUGGGGGAAGCCUGCAGAACUAAAAGCACAUUUUUAAAAUAAAAUUAUAUUAAAAGUAUUUAACUUUGUUAUCUUUUGUAUUACACGUUGCAUGACUGUAGCAAACAUAUAAUGAAUAUAAAGGAAAGGGUAUAUUUAAAUGUCAGGUCUGUUCCCUCUGGUUUCACUAUUGUAUUGUCACUGUAUGAAGACCAUUUAGAACAAAAAUACAACUUAUAUAAAAGAUGUAAUGAUGGUUUGUCUAAUAGGUAAGUUGUAAGGGGUAAUGCUUCAUAACAACAGUAUUAUCUAUGGGCAACAAGGACGUCCUUAUGAAACCGUUGAGCAUUAAAAUGAACAGUAACGUUAUGAAUGAAUAUUAACGUUACUUAUUUUUAGAGCAGAAACAUAAGUAUAUACAUAAAAGAGUGGACUGCAAAGAAUAGGUAUAAUAAAUGAAUUAAGAGUGCAGUAACAAGAACUAAAAUUACAAUACAGUUGUGUGUGCUGUUUUCAGCUAAUGGGGUGGGGGGGCGACAUGACGGCGGUGUUGCAGUCGUCAUCCUGGCGUGACAAGGAGCAAAUAAAAAUAUCACAUUUAUUUUUGUUAAAAUAUCAAAAACAAAGCAGGAAUUAUUUUUCGCGAAACA
Molecule: long non-coding RNA, 1030 nt
Organism: Etheostoma cragini (Arkansas darter)
Lineage: Eukaryota; Metazoa; Chordata; Actinopteri; Perciformes; Percidae
Exons: 3
Source: RefSeq, a predicted model, not a curated record